Long non-coding RNA from Gekko japonicus, 384 nucleotides. RefSeq lists it as uncharacterized. NCBI's taxonomy places the organism in Eukaryota, Metazoa, Chordata, Lepidosauria, Squamata, Gekkonidae. The transcript is spliced from 3 exons. The record is from RefSeq and is a predicted model, not a curated record.
CUGCAGAGGAAGUCGCGGGAUCGUGUCCUCCGCGUGGCCACCCUGCUGAAGGACCUGGAGGCCCAGCGGGCCAGGAGGAACUGCCCCCGUUUCCGGGCCUCCGGGCGCCUGCACAGGUUCGCCCACCUGUCUCGGGACUGGCUCUUUGAGCUGCCCCUGGAGCUGAUGGGCGAGUGGGUGCACGCGGACAUGGCUGAGCAGUGGGGGCGCCUGCCCUUCGACGACACCCCCACGGGCGGGGCCCUGGCGUGGGUGCCCCAGGAGAGCGGCACGGCACCUGAGCAUGGCGGCUGCCUGGUGUACCCGUCCGGCCAGGCUACGAACCAGCUCUGUUUUCAGGACAUGGCUCUGAAGCCCACCAGCGCCGGCUCCCUACGGCCUCAC